RNAcentral lists this ribosomal RNA (978 nucleotides) under human gut metagenome. Its description in RNAcentral is "bacterial LSU rRNA". It matches the Rfam family "Bacterial large subunit ribosomal RNA", at positions 1946 to 2925 of the family's 2925-position model. The record is from RNAcentral.
CGGUCCUAAGGUAGCGAAAUUCCUUGUCGGGUAAGUUCCGACCCGCACGAAAGGUGUAACGAUUUGGGCACUGUCUCAACGAGGGACCCGGUGAAAUUGAAAUACCUGUGAAGAUGCAGGUUACCCGCGACUGGACAGAAAGACCCCAUGGAGCUUUACUGUAACCUGACAUUGGGUUUUGAUACAUUACGUACAGGAUAGGUGGGAGGCAUGGAAAGCUGGACGCUAGUCUGGCUGGAGCCGCCGUUGGGAUACCACCCUUGAUGUAUUGAAAUUCUAACCGCGAGAGUAACGAAAUCCGGGACAGUGUCAGGCGGGCAGUUUGACUGGGGCGGUCGCCUCCGAAAGAGUAACGGAGGCGCCCAAAGGUUCCCUCAGCGCGGCCGGAAAUCGCGCGAAGAGUGUAAAGGCAGAAGGGAGCUUGACUGCGAGUCAAACACGACGAGCAGGUACGAAAGUAGGGCUUAGUGAUCCGGUGGUACCGAGUGGAAGGGCCAUCGCUCAACGGAUAAAAGCUACCCUGGGGAUAACAGGCUAAUCUCUCCCAAGAGUCCAUAUCGACGGGGAGGUUUGGCACCUCGAUGUCGGCUCAUCACAUCCUGGGGCUGAAGUCGGUCCCAAGGGUUGGGCUGUUCGCCCAUUAAAGUGGUACGUGAGCUGGGUUCAGAACGUCGUGAGACAGUUCGGUCCCUAUCCAUCGCGGGCGCAAGAGAUUUGAAGGGGGCUGCUCCUAGUACGAGAGGACCGGAGUGGACGAACCGCUGGUGUACCAAUUAUCCCGCCAGGGGUACAGUUGGGUAGCUACGUUCGGAAAGGAUAAACGCUGAAAGCAUCUAAGCGUGAAACCAGCCUUAAGAUGAGAUCUCUCAUAGAGCAAUCUAGUAAGACACCUUAAAGAAGAUGAGGUUGAUAGGUCGGGAGUGUAAGUACAGCAAUGUAUUGAGCGGACCGAUACUAAUAUGUCGAGGGCUUGACUUA